AUACGGAGGGUGCAAGCGUUACUCGGAAUCACUGGGCGUAAAGCGCGCGCAGGCGGCUAUUUAAGCUGGAUGUGAAAGCCUACGGCUCAACCGUAGAACUGCAUCCAAAACUAUUUAGCUAGAGUGUGGGAGAGGAAGAUGGAAUUAGUUGUGUAGGGGUAAAAUCCGUAGAGAUAACUAGGAAUACCAAAAGCGGAGGCAAUCUUCUGGAACACUACUGACGCUGAGGCGCGAAAGCGUGGGGAGCAAACAGGAUUAGAAACCCUAGUAGUCC
This 274-nucleotide ribosomal RNA is filed under the name uncultured bacterium. Its description in RNAcentral is "partial 16S ribosomal RNA". It matches the Rfam family "Bacterial small subunit ribosomal RNA", at positions 523 to 796 of the family's 1533-position model. The record is from RNAcentral.